RNAcentral lists this transfer RNA (65 nucleotides) under Anolis purpuronectes. RNAcentral's name for it is "tRNA-Cys". Lineage: Eukaryota; Metazoa; Chordata; Lepidosauria; Squamata; Anolidae. The record is from RNAcentral.
AGCCCCGGAGCCCUUUUGGGGCUCUUCUUCAAACUUGCAUUUUGAUGUACAUCACUUCGAGACUU